RNAcentral lists this ribosomal RNA (434 nucleotides) under uncultured Oscillospiraceae bacterium. Its description in RNAcentral is "bacterial SSU rRNA". It matches the Rfam family "Bacterial small subunit ribosomal RNA", at positions 341 to 792 of the family's 1533-position model. The record is from RNAcentral. Lineage: Bacteria; Bacillati; Bacillota; Clostridia; Eubacteriales; Oscillospiraceae.
ACGGGAGGCAGCAGUGGGGGAUAUUGCACAAUGGGGGAAACCCUGAUGCAGCAACGCCGCGUGAAGGAAGAAGGUCUUCGGAUUGUAAACUUUUGUCUUGUGGGAAGAUAGUGACGGUACCACAGGAGGAAGCUCCGGCUAACUACGUGCCAGCAGCCGCGGUAAUACGUAGGGAGCGAGCGUUGUCCGGAUUUACUGGGUGUAAAGGGUGCGUAGGCGGCUAGACAAGUCAGGUGUGAAAUACCGCAGCUCAACUGCGGGGCUGCACUUGAAACUGUAGAGCUUGAGUGAUGGAGAGGUAAGCGGAAUUCCUAGUGUAGCGGUAAAAUGCGUAGAUAUUAGGAGGAACACCAGUGGCGAAGGCGGCUUACUGGACAUUAACUGACGCUGAGGCACGAAAGCGUGGGGAGCAAACAGGAUUAGAUACCCUGGUA